GUUAGGAAUAUUGGACAAUGGGCGAAAGCCUGAUCCAGCCAUGCCGCGUGAACGAUGAAGGCCUUCGGGUUGUAAAGUUCUUUAGCCGAUGAUUAUAAUGACUGUAGUCGGAAAAUAAGCCCCGGCUAACUUCGUGCCAGCAGCCGCGGUAAUACGAAGGGGGCGAGCGUUAUUCGGAAUCACUGGGCGUAGAGCGUGCGUAGGCGGUUUUGUAAGUUAGGAGUGAAAGCCCAGGGCUCAACCUUGGAAUUGCUCUUAAAACUGCAAGGCUCGAAUCUCGGAGAGGAUAGCGGAAUUUCCAGUGUAGCAGUGAAAUGCGUAGAUAUUGGAAGGAACACCAGUGGCGUAAGCGGCUAUCUGGACGAGUAUUGACGCUGAGGCACGAAAGCGUGGGGAUCAAACAGGAUUAGAUACCCGAGUAGUCC
This 425-nucleotide ribosomal RNA is filed under the name uncultured bacterium. RNAcentral describes it as "partial 16S ribosomal RNA". It matches the Rfam family "Bacterial small subunit ribosomal RNA", at positions 354 to 796 of the family's 1533-position model. The record is from RNAcentral.